GGGGAAUAUUGGACAAUGGGGGAAACCCUGAUCCAGCAAUGCCGCGUGAAUGAAGAAGGCCUUAGGGUUGUAAAGUUCUUUCACCUGUGAAGAUAAUGACGGUAGCAGGAGAAGAAGCCCCGGCAAACUCCGUGCCAGCAGCCGCGGUAAGACGGAGGGGGCUAGCGUUGUUCGGAAUGACUGGGCGUAAAGGGCGCGUAGGCGGUGUCUUAAGUGAGGCGUGAAAGCCCCGGGCUUAACCCGGGAGGUGCGUUUCAUACUGAGAUGCUAGAGUGCGAGAGAGGAAAGUGGAAUUCCUAGUGUAGAGGUGAAAUUCGUAGAUAUUAGGAAGAACACCAGAGGCGAAGGCGGCUUUCUGGCUCGUAACUGACGCUGAGGCGCGAAAGCGUGGGGAGCAAAC
This 400-nucleotide ribosomal RNA is filed under the name uncultured bacterium. RNAcentral's name for it is "bacterial SSU rRNA". It matches the Rfam family "Bacterial small subunit ribosomal RNA", at positions 356 to 773 of the family's 1533-position model. The record is from RNAcentral.